UGACUUCGUUGGUCUGAAAAUGCUUGCACAGUAUUGUGUCCAGAAUUGGUUCCUUCCGGUGGGUUCUUGGUCUCACUGACUUCAAGAAUGAAGCCACGGACCCCCGCGUCACAAGCACCUCUUCGGCAAAGCCCACCUCCCUCUCUCGCUUGAUUCCCCGGCCAUCCUUAUCAAAGACCUUCCAGGUUCAAGUGAUUCUCCUGCCUCAGUCUCCCGAGUAGCUGGGACUACAGUGAUUUCCUGAAGGAAAUAUAAUGAUCUGUUCAUCGAAGUAGAAGAUAUUGUUGGCCACGUGGGAUCGAAGACCAAAAACAUGCAGCGUCUGAGCUACCACGGCUGACAUGAUCUCCCGCCAAAGAGUUCUGCUGAAGACCAAGACCACGCAUGUAUCCAGAGGCGCUACCUGUAGGGAUCCUAAGCAACCCGGGCACUUUCAAACGCCGUAGCGGUUCCUAUAGCAACGACAAACCGGAAGUAUGGUUUGCCGCCGGAAGCGGAAGUCCCAAUCAAAAGUUGAGCAGUAGCUGUGUGGGACGUGCGUGCGGCGAGAUGGACACUCCCCCGCUCUCGGAUUCGGAGUCGGAAUCCGAUGAAUCCCUUGUCACAGACAGAGAGUUGCAGGAUGCGUUUUCCCGAGGGCUUCUGAAGCCAGGCCUCAAUGUCGUGCUAGAGGGGCCGAAGAAGGCCGUGAACGACGUGAAUGGCCUGAAGCAAUGUUUGGCAGAAUUCAAGCGGGAUCUG
RNAcentral lists this small RNA (741 nucleotides) under Pan troglodytes (chimpanzee). RNAcentral's name for it is "processed transcript". The record is from RNAcentral. Lineage: Eukaryota; Metazoa; Chordata; Mammalia; Primates; Hominidae.